RNAcentral lists this ribosomal RNA (409 nucleotides) under uncultured Glomus. Its description in RNAcentral is "SSU rRNA". It matches the Rfam family "Eukaryotic small subunit ribosomal RNA", at positions 780 to 1187 of the family's 1831-position model. Lineage: Eukaryota; Fungi; Glomeromycota; Glomeromycetes; Glomerales; Glomeraceae. The record is from RNAcentral.
GCAGGCUCGCGCUUGAAUACAUUAGCAUGGAAUAAUGAAAUAGGACGUUUGAUUCUAUUUUGUUGGUUUCUAGGAUCGACGUAAUGAUUAAUAGGGAUAGUUGGGGGCAUUAGUAUUCAAUUGUCAGAGGUGAAAUUCUUGGAUUUAUUGAAGACUAACUACUGCGAAAGCAUUUGCCAAGGAUGUUUUCAUUAAUCAAGAACGAAAGUUAGGGGAUCGAAGACGAUCAGAUACCGUCGUAGUCUUAACCAUAAACUAUGCCGACUAGGGAUCGGAGGAUGUUAAUUUUUUAAUGACUCAUUCGGCGCCUUACGGGAAACCAAAGUGUUUGGGUUCCGGGGGGAGUAUGGUCGCAAGGCUGAAACUUAAAGGAAUUGACGGAAGGGCACCACCAGGGGUGGAGCCUGCG